Heterocephalus glaber (naked mole-rat) is the source of this 126-nucleotide small nuclear RNA. The record is from Ensembl. Lineage: Eukaryota; Metazoa; Chordata; Mammalia; Rodentia; Bathyergidae.
GUGUUGUAUGAAAGGAGAGAAUGUUAGCACUCCCCUUGACAAGGAUGAAAGAGGCCCUUGGGCCUGACAACAUGGAUAUAGUUAAGGCAUUGACACCUACUUCGUGGCAUCUAACCACUAUUUUUA